This 419-nucleotide ribosomal RNA is filed under the name uncultured bacterium. RNAcentral describes it as "bacterial SSU rRNA". It matches the Rfam family "Bacterial small subunit ribosomal RNA", at positions 355 to 786 of the family's 1533-position model. The record is from RNAcentral.
UGGGGGAUAUUGCACAAUGGGGGGAACUCUGAUGCAGCGACGCCGCGUGAGUGAAGAAGUAAUUCGUUAUGUAAAAGCUCUAUCAGCAGGGAAGAAGAAAUGACGGUACCUGAGUAAGAAGCCCCCGGCUAACUACGUGCCAGCAGCCGCGGUAAUACGUAGGGGGCAAGCGUUAUCCGGAUUUACUGGGUGUAAAGGGAGCGUAGACGGCGAUGCAAGCCAGAUGUGAAAGCCCGCGGCUCAACUGCGGGACUGCAUUUGGAACUGUAUGGCUGGAGUGCAGGAGAGGCAGGCGGAAUUCCUAGUGUAGCGGUGAAAUGCGUAGAUAUUGAGGAAGACACCAGUGGGCGAAGGCGGCUUACUGGACGGUAACUGACGUUGAGGCUCGAAAGCGUGGGGAGCAAACAGGAUUAGAUACC